AGUCCACUUAAUUUAAAUAACAUGAGGAGCGUCUGUUGAACAACUACAUAAGACAAUGCUAAGAUAUAUAUCAAGGUACAUUCUCUGACGCCUGUUCAGUGAUACUAAGUAUCAAACAACGGGGGUUCCCUUAAAGUAGGAAUUAAUUGUCUAAAUAACAAUUAUGUGAAUGGCGUAACGACUUCUCUAUUGUCUCCACUAAAUCCUUUAUGAAAUAGUCGUAGAUUUGAAUAGAAAUCUUGGUAUACUGUGACGGAGAGACCCCGUGCACCUUUACUUCUCUUAAAUAAGUUUUGCAA
RNAcentral lists this ribosomal RNA (299 nucleotides) under Babesia motasi. RNAcentral describes it as "large subunit ribosomal RNA". It matches the Rfam family "Bacterial large subunit ribosomal RNA", at positions 1766 to 2129 of the family's 2925-position model. Lineage: Eukaryota; Apicomplexa; Aconoidasida; Piroplasmida; Babesiidae. The record is from RNAcentral.